GGUGCUGUGGCGCAGUGGGUUAACACCCUGGCCUGCAGCGCCAGCAUCUCAUAUGGGCACAGGUUCGAGACCUGGCUGCUCCA
Molecule: non-coding RNA, 83 nt
Organism: Oryctolagus cuniculus (rabbit)
Lineage: Eukaryota; Metazoa; Chordata; Mammalia; Lagomorpha; Leporidae
Source: Rfam